AUUGAACGCUGGCGGCAGGCCUAACACAUGCAAGUCGAGCGGAUGAAGGGAGCUUGCUCCUGGAUUCAGCGGCGGACGGGUGAGUAAUGCCUAGGAAUCUGCCUGGUAGUGGGGGAUAACGUCCGGAAACGGGCGCUAAUACCGCAUACGUCCUGAGGGAGAAAGUGGGGGAUCUUCGGACCUCACGCUAUCAGAUGAGCCUAGGUCGGAUUAGCUAGUUGGUGGGGUAAAGGCCUACCAAGGCGACGAUCCGUAACUGGUCUGAGAGGAUGAUCAGUCACACUGGAACUGAGACACGGUCCAGACUCCUACGGGAGGCAGCAGUGGGGAAUAUUGGACAAAGGGCGAAAGCCUGAUCCAGCCAUGCCGCGUGUGUGAAGAAGGUCUUCGGAUUGUAAAGCGCUUUAAGUUGGGAGGAAGGGCAGUAAGUUAAUACCUUGCUGUUUUGACGUUACCAACAGAAUAAGCACCGGCUAACUUCGUG
RNAcentral lists this ribosomal RNA (484 nucleotides) under uncultured bacterium. RNAcentral's name for it is "partial 16S ribosomal RNA". It matches the Rfam family "Bacterial small subunit ribosomal RNA", at positions 30 to 507 of the family's 1533-position model. The record is from RNAcentral.